GACGAACGCUGGCGGCGUGCCUAAUACAUGCAAGUCGAACGAACCGCGACUGAGUGCUUGCACUUGGUCAAGGUGAGUGGCGAACGGGUGAGUAACACGUGGGUAACCUACCUCAUAGUGGGGGAUAACAGUCGGAAACGACUGCUAAUACCGCAUAGGACAUAGGAUCACAUGAUCCAGUGAGGAAAGGUGGCGCAAGCUAUCGCUAAGAGAUGGACCCGCGGUGCAUUAGCUAGUUGGUAGGGUAAAGGCCUACCAAGGCGAUGAUGCAUAGCCGACCUGAGAGGGUGAUCGGCCACAUUGGGACUGAGACACGGCCCAAACUCCUACGGGAGGCAGCAGUAGGGAAUCGUCCGCAAUGGACGCAAGUCUGACGGAGCAACGCCGCGUGAGUGAAGAAGGUCUUCGGAUCGUAAAGCUCUGUUGUUAGAGAAGAACAGCGCAUAGAGUAACUGCUAUGCGUGUGACGGUAUCUAACCAGAAAGCCACGGCUAACUACGUG
Molecule: ribosomal RNA, 502 nt
Filed under: uncultured bacterium
Lineage: Bacteria
Description: partial 16S ribosomal RNA
Rfam family: Bacterial small subunit ribosomal RNA
Source: RNAcentral